AGCCUGAGCCCCACACAUUCACAUGGAGAUUUGGGAGUAUAAAUAGGAGGCCUGAAGAGGUCGGAUUCACUCCUCUCAGGGGUCUCUGCACCGCAGUCCAAGCAGCAAUGGCACGGUGGCGAACAAGCUGAGGAAAGACAUGGUGGAGAAGCUGUGCAGAGGAUCCCAUCAGCAGCAGCAUCGAGCAGCUUCGGCCAGCAGCCCAACUCCCGGCAGGAGAAGCCCGACGUUCUGGAGGUGAUGGUUCACUUCCCGAGAUGGCAGCUUCAGCAGUGAUCUGUGAGAAGAUCGAGUUUCACGGUGGCUGUCGAUGAGGGCUUCUCCAGGAGGUGUCCAGGAGGUUGAGAACUUUCUGUCACAGGAUGAACGAAAGACUGAGGGGCAGAAGAACCAGCUGAGCCACCUCCAGUCUGCAGGCUUCAUCUUACGACGGGCAGAAUCAAGCCGCCCUAAGUCAGAUGCACUUUCCACCUGGCAGCACUCAGUGUAAUGUGAGAAAUGUGUUAAACAAACCUGCUGGAGACCUUUGUAAAGGAUCAGAGGUGCAUCUAUCGGGUCGAGCUGAAAAUGUCAGCUUGGUAAAGUAAUUCUUUGCAAGAAAUAUUAUCAUUCUUCUGCAAGUGCAUGAGGUUUUAAAUUCUAAUAUCAAUAUUAAAUAUCAUUCUGAGGAAUUGUUAUGAUGUGUAUUCAUGAAGCAUAUUUCCCAUGGAAAGAAUAUAUGUUUUAGUUACACUUCAGUCAAGCUCUUGAGUUUGAAUGUGACAAUAUAAUAGGUCAUGUUUUGACUAUGUUAGAUCAUUUGAUCAUUAUGAAGAAAUAGUCACCUUUUGCAAAGGUGUUUUUGUAUAUCAUGCAAAAAAUCUAAUUUUUUGUUAAAAUGUUCAGAUUAAUAUUUUAAUUGAUGUUUAUGUUAAAAUUGUAUCUAUGUAAUUGUAUUACGCUUUCAGUUCGGUUAUUUUUUAUAACCUUUGAAUCAUUCUGUUCUUACUGAGAAUUCUUACUUCUGUAUGAGUUAGUCUUUUCAUAAAGACGUUUACUAACAUUCA
This is a long non-coding RNA of Brienomyrus brachyistius, 1046 nucleotides long. RefSeq lists it as uncharacterized. The record is from RefSeq and is a predicted model, not a curated record. The transcript is spliced from 2 exons. NCBI's taxonomy places the organism in Eukaryota, Metazoa, Chordata, Actinopteri, Osteoglossiformes, Mormyridae.